This 207-nucleotide ribosomal RNA is filed under the name uncultured bacterium. RNAcentral's name for it is "partial 16S ribosomal RNA". It matches the Rfam family "Bacterial small subunit ribosomal RNA", at positions 568 to 774 of the family's 1533-position model. The record is from RNAcentral.
CGCGUAGGUGGUUUGAUUAGUCGGAUGUGAAAGCCCCGGGCUCAACCUGGGAACUGCAUUCGAUACUGUCGAACUAGAGUAUGGUAGAGGGAAGGGGAAUUCCAGGUGUAGCGGUGAAAUGCGUAGAUAUCUGGAGGAACAUCAGUGGCGAAGGCGCCUUCCUGGACUAAUACUGACACUGAGGUGCGAAAGCGUGGGUAGCAAACA